UCGGGAAUUUUGGGCAAUGGGCGAAAGCCUGACCCAGCAACGCCGCGUGAGGGAUGAAGUAUUUCGGUAUGUAAACCUCGAAAGAAUGGGAAGGAUAAAUGACGGUACCAUUUAUAAGCUCCGGCUAACUACGUGCCAGCAGCCGCGGUAAUACGUAGGGAGCAAGCGUUGUUCGGAUUUACUGGGCGUAAAGGGCGCGUAGGCGGCGCGGUAAGUCACUUGUGAAAUCUCUGAGCUUAACUCAGAACGGCCAAGUGAUACUGCUGUGCUAGAGUGCGGAAGAGGCAACCGGAAUUCUUGGUGUAGCGGUGAAAUGCGUAGAUAUCAAGAGGAACACCUGAGGCGAAGGCGGGUUGCUGGGCCGACACUGACGCUGAUGCGCGAAAGCCAGGGGAGCAAACG
RNAcentral lists this ribosomal RNA (402 nucleotides) under uncultured bacterium. Its description in RNAcentral is "bacterial SSU rRNA". It matches the Rfam family "Bacterial small subunit ribosomal RNA", at positions 355 to 774 of the family's 1533-position model. The record is from RNAcentral.